GACGAACGCUGGCGGCGUGCUUAACACAUGCAAGUCGAACGGAAAGGCCCUGCUUUUGUGGGGUGCUCGAGUGGCGAACGGGUGAGUAACACGUGAGUGACCUGCCCUUGACUUUGGGAUAACUUCAGGAAACUGGGGCUAAUACCGGAUAGGAGCUCCUGCUGCAUGGUGGGGGUUGGAAAGUUUCGGCGGUUGGGGAUGGACUCGCGGCUUAUCAGCUUGUUGGUGGGGUAGUGGCUUACCAAGGCUUUGACGGGUAGCCGGCCUGAGAGGGUGACCGGCCACAUUGGGACUGAGAUACGGCCCAGACUCCUACGGGAGGCAGCAGUGGGGAAUAUUGCACAAUGGGCGGAAGCCUGAUGCAGCAACGCCGCGUGCGGGAUGACGGCCUUCGGGUUGUAAACCGCUUCCGCCUGUGACGAAGCGUGAGUGACGGUAAUGGGUAAAGAAGCACCGGCUAACUACGUG
Molecule: ribosomal RNA, 468 nt
Filed under: uncultured bacterium
Lineage: Bacteria
Description: partial 16S ribosomal RNA
Rfam family: Bacterial small subunit ribosomal RNA
Source: RNAcentral